RNAcentral lists this ribosomal RNA (491 nucleotides) under uncultured bacterium. RNAcentral describes it as "partial 16S ribosomal RNA". It matches the Rfam family "Bacterial small subunit ribosomal RNA", at positions 29 to 507 of the family's 1533-position model. The record is from RNAcentral.
AGUGAACGCUGGCGGUAGGCCUAACACAUGCAAGUCGAACGGCAGCACAGUAAGAGCUUGCUCUUACGGGUGGCGAGUGGCGGACGGGUGAGGAAUACAUCGGAAUCUACUUUUUCGUGGGGGAUAACGUAGGGAAACUUGCGCUAAUACCGCAUACGACCUACGGGUGAAAGCAGGGGAUCUUCGGACCUUGCGCGAUUGAAUGAGCCGAUGUCGGUUUAGCUGGUUGGCGGGGAAAAGGCCCACUAAGGCGACGAUCCGUAGCUGGUCGGGGGGAUGAUCAGCCACACUGGAACUGAGACACGGUCCAGACUCCUACGGGAGGCAGCAGUGGGGAAUAUUGGACAAUGGGCGCAAGCCUGAUCCAGCCAUACCGCGUGGGUGAAGAAGGCCUUCGGGUUGUAAAGCCCUGUUGUUGGGAAAGAAAAGCAGCAGGUUAAUACCCCGCUGUUCUGACGGUACCCAAAGAAUAAGCACCGGCUAACUUCGUG